This 253-nucleotide ribosomal RNA is filed under the name uncultured bacterium. Its description in RNAcentral is "partial 16S ribosomal RNA". It matches the Rfam family "Bacterial small subunit ribosomal RNA", at positions 524 to 776 of the family's 1533-position model. The record is from RNAcentral.
UACGGAGGGUGCAAGCGUUAAUCGGAAUUACUGGGCGUAAAGGGCGCGUAGGCGGCCGAUCAAGUCAGGCGUGAAAUUCCCGGGCUCAACCUGGGGGCUGCGCUUGAUACUGAUUGGCUUGAAUGCGGGAGAGGAUAGUGGAAUUCCCAGUGUAGAGGUGAAAUUCGUAGAUAUUGGGAAGAACACCGGUGGCGAAGGCGGCUAUCUGGCCCGUAAUUGACGCUGAGGCGCGAAAGCGUGGGGAGCAAACAGG